This 406-nucleotide ribosomal RNA is filed under the name Anaerosalibacter bizertensis. Its description in RNAcentral is "Sporanaerobacter sp. C5BEL Bacterial large subunit ribosomal RNA". It matches the Rfam family "Bacterial large subunit ribosomal RNA", at positions 1 to 410 of the family's 2925-position model. The record is from Rfam by way of RNAcentral. Lineage: Bacteria; Bacillati; Bacillota; Tissierellia; Tissierellales; Sporanaerobacteraceae.
GGUCAAGCUAAUAAGAGCAUAGGGCGAAUGCCUUGGCACCAGAAGCCGAUGAAGGACGGGGUAAGCACCGAUAUGCUUCGGGGAGCUGCAAACAAGCUUUGAUCCGAGGAUCUCCGAAUGGGGAAACCCACCUAGAUUUUCUAGGUAUCAUCUACUGAAUACAUAGGUAGAUGAAGGGAUACCAGGGGAACUGAAACAUCUAAGUACCCUGAGGAAAAGAAAGAAAACUCGAUUUCCUAAGUAGCGGCGAGCGAAAGGGAAACAGCCUAAACCUAUUGAGUUUACUCUUUAGGGGUUGUGGACCAGCAUUUAAUAAGUUCUUCUUGUAACUGAAUGACCUGGAAAGGUCAACCGUAGAAGGUGAUAGUCCUGUAAGUGAAACUAGUUGACUUAUUGCUGGUAUCCG